Molecule: transfer RNA, 65 nt
Filed under: marine eukaryotic metagenome
Rfam family: tRNA
About the family: Transfer RNA (tRNA) molecules are approximately 80 nucleotides in length. Their secondary structure includes four short double-helical elements and three loops (D, anti-codon, and T loops). Further hydrogen bonds mediate the characteristic L-shaped molecular structure. tRNAs have two regions of fundamental functional importance: the anti-codon, which is responsible for specific mRNA codon recognition, and the 3' end, to which the tRNAs corresponding amino acid is attached (by aminoacyl-tRNA synthetases). tRNAs cope with the degeneracy of the genetic code in two manners: having more than one tRNA (with a specific anti-codon) for a particular amino acid; and 'wobble' base-pairing, i.e. permitting non-standard base-pairing at the 3rd anti-codon position.
Source: RNAcentral
CGUUAGCUCAGCUGGUAGAGCAGUUGGCUUUUAACCAAUUGGUCGCUGGUUCGAAUCCAGCACGG